CUGGACACGUGGACAUCCACUAAGGCGUGGCGAGACACCCGCCUUGAACAAGCACAGUGUGACGAGAUAUCCAUUGUUAAAAGCGAAUACGAUUAUCCAAGAUUCACCGGAAUGGAAACCAUCCUACGACCAGGGAAGAGCGCAGUCCAGUUUGAUUUACUUCAUGCUGACCGAAGCUACAACAGCGGAAAUCGAGGAGGUUUGCGAUUAUGCAGCAAAUUUCGAUAGCUAUUGAUCGGAAUCCAACUAAUAAUCUGCAUCUGAGAACCUUUAUCGAAAAUCCUGAUAUUCCGCGCUUGCCCGCCGGAGUCCUUUACGAAAAAUUUAGCAACGGUGGCACGCGGUGCUGGUUUGUUGAUCAAGACGGUCAAAAACUUCGGCAUCAUGAGUAACGUGCCGCGGAUUGGAGCUUGAUGCCAUUUCCAAUCCAAAAACAAUCGCCGUGCCCGUCACCUGAGACGAGUGGGGAAUUAUUAUAGCCCACGGCAAGGCUGUGUUGCUCAAAAGGUGGACCGAUAAUCAACGUUUUUCAGUUACGAGCUAACGGCGCUUCCAUCAGCGAUUUCAAGUGGCCAAAAUUAUUCAUCGAAGGUGCAUGUGCAUGUUCCUAGGCGUAUUGAUCAGCCCAAGGACAUUUUGUGAUGGUCACAUUUUCAUUGGAUGCUUCAGAUGAAUGCAUAAGCGUUGGUGAGCGAACACCCAUUUGUUUUUAGACGCUCUCAGAGGUCGGAUACCUUCACUUACCACCAGAUGUCGGUCGGAAAAAUGUAGUUAUCUACCGCCUUUAAUCUGCCGGAGAAAGGAGACUAGCUGUUUCUGAGUAACCAUAAGUUCAACAUCGAGUCGAAGAUUCCAUACCUGCCAGAGUAGUGAGAUUGGCCGCAGUGCAUCGAAUGAAUUUUCUGGAUAUAUCCCAAGAGUUAAACUACGCAACAGGAUUUGGCAGCCGACUUUAUGCUUAAGCUGCAUAAGCGUUCUGAAUGAUACGUCGCAAGCGUCAAUGAUAAAGGCAGAUAACAAUCGUACGGGUGCUGAAAAUCAUCCCGAUAUGGAACUACAACGCUGCACGGGGAAUAGACUACAUCACAUUUGUAAAAAAUGCGAUGAUUCCACGGCGAUUGUUUGAUUCUAUGCUCGCCAAAUUUCGCGCGAACACAAACGAUUGCUGGCGAAUACAGUACCAGCAACAAAAAAAACCAUCUCCACCCCGUCUGGGGCUGAGUAAAUGGCUUGAAGUUUGUACAAACAGCACCAUACACCAUGCCAUAGACAACACAAAUGGCGUGUGCAAAUUCGAUGAUUCCAAGACGAUUGUUUGAUCUAUGCUCGCCCACACACGAUACAAACGUAUUUAGCGCGAACACAAACGAUGGCUGACGAUAACACUAACAACAAAAAACCACCGCCACCCCUACUGGGACUGAGUAAAUUUCCUGAAUAUUGUACAAACAGCACCGUACACUAUGCCACAGAGGGUGGUUUGUGCAAAAUAUUUCGA
Uranotaenia lowii is the source of this 1498-nucleotide long non-coding RNA. RefSeq lists it as uncharacterized. Lineage: Eukaryota; Metazoa; Arthropoda; Insecta; Diptera; Culicidae. The transcript is spliced from 5 exons. The record is from RefSeq and is a predicted model, not a curated record.